UCGAGAAUUUUUCUCAAUGGGCGAAAGCCUGAAGGAGCGACGCCGCGUGGGGGAUGGAGGGUUUCGAUCCGUAAACCCCUGUCAUUUGUGAACAAUGUUUAUUCAUGAACAAUGGAUGAAUUGAUAGUAACGAAAGAGGAAGGGACGGCUAACUCUGUGCCAGCAGCCGCGGUAAUACAGAGGUCCCAAGCGUUGUUCGGAUUCACUGGGCGUAAAGGGUGCGUAGGUGGCGGGGUAAGUUUGAUGUGAAAUCUCCGGGCUUAACCCGGAAAUGGCAUUGAAUACUAUUCUGCUCGAGGUUUGGAGGGGGGACUGGAAUUCUCGGUGUAGCAGUGAAAUGCGUAGAUAUCGAGAGGAACACCAGUGGCGAAGGCGAGUCCCUGGACAACACCUGACACUGAGGCACGAAAGCUAGGGGAGCAAACAGG
Molecule: ribosomal RNA, 428 nt
Filed under: uncultured bacterium
Lineage: Bacteria
Description: bacterial SSU rRNA
Rfam family: Bacterial small subunit ribosomal RNA
Source: RNAcentral